GACGAACGCUGGCGGCGUGCCUAACACAUGCAAGUCAACUUGACUGAAGGAGCAAUCUGACAGUAGAGUGGCGCAAGGGUGCGUAACGCGUAAGUAACUUGCCCAAGGUAAGGAAUAACGUCGAGAAAUCGGCGCUAAUACCUCAUAAUGCAGCGGAUCCGCAUGGAUAUGUUGUUAAAGGUUUACCGCCUUGGGAUAGGCUUGCGUCUGAUUAGCUAGUUGGUGUGGUAACGGCACACCAAGGCUACGAUCAGUAACUGGUCUGAGAGGAUGAUCAGUCACACUGGAACUGAGACACGGUCCAGACUCCUACGGGAGGCAGCAGUGAGGAAUAUUGGGCAAUGCUCGAAAGAGUGACCCAGCAACGCCGCGUGGAGGAUGAAGGUAUUCUAUAUCGUAAACUCCUGUGAGAGCAGACGAAAGACAGAUUAUUAAUCUGGAUGACUGUAUGCUCAGAGGAAGCCCC
RNAcentral lists this ribosomal RNA (466 nucleotides) under uncultured bacterium. Its description in RNAcentral is "bacterial SSU rRNA". It matches the Rfam family "Bacterial small subunit ribosomal RNA", at positions 28 to 494 of the family's 1533-position model. The record is from RNAcentral.